Small nucleolar RNA from Acomys russatus (golden spiny mouse), 132 nucleotides. RefSeq annotates it as small nucleolar RNA SNORA17. The record is from RefSeq and is a predicted model, not a curated record. Lineage: Eukaryota; Metazoa; Chordata; Mammalia; Rodentia; Muridae. The transcript has a single exon.
ACUUUCAAUCAGUCAACUUAGCAGGCAUGGCUGCUGUGUCACAUGUGCCUCAGGAGGUGGCAGAGGGGAGAGAGGCUCUGUCUACACUCAGUGUUCUGACUGUGAACAUUGAAUGACACAUAGCCUGACACC